UACCCCUAGCAAAUCUCAAAAAACCGUCUCAGUUCGGAUUGCACUCUGCAACUCGAGUGCAUGAAGCUGGAAUCGCUAGUAAUCGUGGAUCAGCAUGCCACGGUGAAUACGUUCCCGGGUCUUGUACACACCGCCCGUCACACCAUGGGAAUUGGUUCUACCUGAAGACGGUGCGCUAACCGAAAGGGGGCAGCCGGCCACGGUAGGGUCAGCGACUGGGGUGAAG
RNAcentral lists this ribosomal RNA (226 nucleotides) under uncultured Nitrobacter sp. RNAcentral describes it as "partial 16S ribosomal RNA". It matches the Rfam family "Bacterial small subunit ribosomal RNA", at positions 1259 to 1485 of the family's 1533-position model. Lineage: Bacteria; Pseudomonadati; Pseudomonadota; Alphaproteobacteria; Hyphomicrobiales; Nitrobacteraceae. The record is from RNAcentral.